RNAcentral lists this ribosomal RNA (661 nucleotides) under uncultured bacterium. RNAcentral's name for it is "bacterial SSU rRNA". It matches the Rfam family "Bacterial small subunit ribosomal RNA", at positions 64 to 736 of the family's 1533-position model. The record is from RNAcentral.
GAACGGACUCAUAUUGAAACCUAGUGAUUUAUGAGUUAGUGGCGGACCGGUGAGUAACGCGUGGAUAACCUGCCGUAUACCGGGGGAUAACACUUAGAAAUAGGUGCUAAUACCGCAUAAGCGCACGGCUCCGCAUGGGGCAGUGUGAAAAACUCCGGUGGUAUACGAUGGAUCCGCGUCUGAUUAGCUAGUUGGCGGGGUAACGGCCCACCAAGGCAGCGAUCAGUAGCCGGCCUGAGAGGGUGGACGGCCACAUUGGGACUGAGACACGGCCCAAACUCCUACGGGAGGCAGCAGUGGGGAAUAUUGCACAAUGGGGGAAACCCUGAUGCAGCGACGCCGCGUGAGUGAAGAAGUAUCUCGGUAUGUAAAGCUCUAUCAGCAGGAAAGAUAAUGACGGUACCUGACUAAGAAGCCCCGGCUAACUACGUGCCAGCAGCCGCGGUAAUACGUAGGGGGCAAGCGUUAUCCGGAUUUACUGGGUGUAAAGGGAGCGUAGACGGCAGCGCAAGUCUGGAGUGAAAUGCCGGGGCCCAACCCCGGAACUGCUUUGGAAACUGUGCGGCUCGAGUGCGGGAGAGGUAGGCGGAAUUCCUAGUGUAGCGGUGAAAUGCGUAGAUAUUAGGAGGAACACCAGUGGCGAAGGCGGCUUACUGGACCG